AUCACACUGGCAGGGCCUCCAACUGAUCCUUAGCAAUCCUUGGAUGUGGCAUUUAGGAAAGAAAUGAUGAUCACAAAUGAAGAAACUUUGCGUAAUUUUGCAGAAGAUUUGGAAUGCCAUGAAGGGUUAUGGAGGCGUGAGCUCACCAGAACACAGCCCUCCCAUUUUCCGUUUUGUCGUGUCUAACCCAGCCUCCCCCCGCCGUGCUCCUGUAUGAAGUAAUGGGAUGCUAGAGAAGACGCUGCCUUUGAUGUCUGGAAGCAGAUGGGCAGAGGAGGAGAGCUGCGUGCUGACAGGUAUCUCUCGUCCUGUCUGAAGUCCAGAGGGACACACUGAAGGAGACUGCGCUGAUUGUUCUGGCAAGUGUAUUGACUCCUAACCUCACUUCACCUGAAAUUAAACCCUGCCAACGAGACAUUUAGACGCUGAUGUUAGCCAAAUUAGCCUCCUACAGACACUGGCGCUCAUUUAUGGCCUUUCUGCUGAUUAUAAUUUCCCCCACUGCCUUCACUCACGUAUGCCCAUUUGUCACGGAUUUGCUUCUCGUAUGGUUUGGCAUUCACGUCCAGGAGUUUCCUUGAGUCUGAAAUAAAAAAAGUUUCUUCCCC
Long non-coding RNA from Carassius auratus (goldfish), 608 nucleotides. RefSeq lists it as uncharacterized. The transcript is spliced from 3 exons. NCBI's taxonomy places the organism in Eukaryota, Metazoa, Chordata, Actinopteri, Cypriniformes, Cyprinidae. The record is from RefSeq and is a predicted model, not a curated record.